RNAcentral lists this ribosomal RNA (423 nucleotides) under Triticum aestivum (bread wheat). RNAcentral describes it as "partial small subunit ribosomal RNA". Lineage: Eukaryota; Viridiplantae; Streptophyta; Magnoliopsida; Poales; Poaceae. The record is from RNAcentral.
UGGUAUCUUCGUUGCGGAGUCAUUCUUACUAAAAAUAACCUUAUUAAGAGGAACUAGCAUGGAAGCCCGCAAUGUGUCUUUCGUCACCAUGAUGAGACAAUAAAACAUUUACUCUUGCAAUGCAAAUUGGCUCAUUCUAUAUGGUCAGUCAUCUAAAUAGUUGCUCGCUUGUAUCCUCCUUGUAGUAUUGCUAAUGUAUUUGGCAACUGGUUACAUGGGAUUGACCAUAGGUUUAGAAUUCUUCUCAAGGUGGGAGAACUUACUAUUAUUUGGUUGCUUUGGCUAUGUAGAAAUUAUACUGGUUUUAAUGAUAAAAGUACUUCUCUGAUGCAGGUUAUCUACAGAUGUACCGGGACUCUCUGUUUAUGGUCAUCUUUACAACGUGUGGAGAAUCGAGACAUGUUUACGGAGGUGUGUACAUGA